UUGCUUUGACAGCAAGUGUGCUAAAAUUAGAACUACAUAGGUAAGAUUAACAUGGCCCCUGCUUAGGAAUGACAUGCAGGCAGUGGUGGUGCACGCCUUUAAU
Small nuclear RNA from Peromyscus eremicus (cactus mouse), 103 nucleotides. Lineage: Eukaryota; Metazoa; Chordata; Mammalia; Rodentia; Cricetidae. The record is from RefSeq and is a predicted model, not a curated record.